CCCUACAAAUGAGUGAAACAGCGCCCCCCUGGGCUGUAAUGGCUACUAAAGGGCGCCCAAUGUAUGCGGUCAGACGCGGUGCUGCACCCAGGUUUACCGACGACAACGGGUAACGAUUGUAAAACAAGACUUGGAUGUAUCAGAUGUCCAAAGGGAGCUGUGCUGAGCUGUGAAAUGUCUGGCAGCUGCUCUUGUAGAGACUAAAACCUCCACUAGAUGUCGUCCUAUUCAAGGU
Molecule: long non-coding RNA, 235 nt
Organism: Amphiprion ocellaris (clown anemonefish)
Lineage: Eukaryota; Metazoa; Chordata; Actinopteri; Pomacentridae
Exons: 3
Source: RefSeq, a predicted model, not a curated record